AGGACGAGCGGGAGGAUGCAAUC
Molecule: non-coding RNA, 23 nt
Filed under: Cricetulus griseus (Chinese hamster)
Lineage: Eukaryota; Metazoa; Chordata; Mammalia; Rodentia; Cricetidae
Source: RNAcentral